This 417-nucleotide ribosomal RNA is filed under the name Spodoptera littoralis (African cotton leafworm). RNAcentral's name for it is "partial 16S ribosomal RNA". The record is from RNAcentral. Lineage: Eukaryota; Metazoa; Arthropoda; Insecta; Lepidoptera; Noctuidae.
GGGCUGCAGUAUAUUGACUGUACAAAGGUAGCAUAAUCAUUAGUCAUUUAAUUGGUGACUUGUAUGAAAGAUUGGAUGAAAUAUAGACUGUCUCUUUAUUAUUUAUAGAAUUUAAUUUUUUAAUCAAAAAGUUAAAAUAAUUUAAAAAGACGAGAAGACCCUAUAGAGUUUUAUAUUUAAAUUAAUUGAGAUUAUUUAUAAAAUUUUUAAUUAAAAUUAUUUUAAUUAUUUUGUUGGGGUGACAAAAAAAUAAAAAUAACUUUUUUUAAAUUUUAACAUAUAUAAUUGAUUUUAUGAUCCAUUAUUAAUGAUUAUAAGAAAAAAUUACCUUAGGGAUAACAGCGUAAUUUUUUUUUUUAGUUCGAAUAAAAAAAAGAGUUUGCGACCUCGAUGUUGGAUUAAGAUAAAAUUUAAAUG